CGAACCUGCCUCAUACAGAGGGAUAAUCGUGUGAAAACGUGACUAAUACCGCAUGUCAUUACUGGAGGGCAUCCUCCGGUAAGAAAAGGAAGCAAUCCGGUAUGAGAUGGGCCCGCAUCUGAUUAGCUAGUUGGUGAGAUAACAGCCCACCAAGGCGACGAUCAGUAGCCGACCUGAGAGGGUGAUCGGCCACAUUGGGACUGAGACACGGCCCAA
RNAcentral lists this ribosomal RNA (216 nucleotides) under uncultured bacterium. RNAcentral describes it as "partial 16S ribosomal RNA". It matches the Rfam family "Bacterial small subunit ribosomal RNA", at positions 122 to 334 of the family's 1533-position model. The record is from RNAcentral.